This 443-nucleotide ribosomal RNA is filed under the name uncultured prokaryote. RNAcentral describes it as "bacterial SSU rRNA". It matches the Rfam family "Bacterial small subunit ribosomal RNA", at positions 355 to 796 of the family's 1533-position model. The record is from RNAcentral.
UAGGGAAUAUUGGGCAAUGGGUGAGAGCCUGACCCAGCCAUGCCGCGUGCAGGAAGACGGCCCUCUGGGUUGUAAACUGCUUUUAUGAGGGAACAAAAGGGUCCUGCGGGACAGAUUGCGUGUACCUCACGAAUAAGCACCGGCUAACUCCGUGCCAGCAGCCGCGGUAAUACGGAGGGUGCAAGCGUUGUCCGGAUUUAUUGGGUUUAAAGGGUACGUAGGCGGAAGGCUAAGUCCGAGGUGAAAGCCCGCAGCUCAACUGCGGAGGUGCCUUGGAUACUGGUCAUCUUGAGUGCCGUAGAGGUAGGCGGAAUUCAUGGUGUAGCGGUGAAAUGCAUAGAUACCAUGAGGAACACCGAUAGGGAAGCCAGCUUACUAGACGGUUACUGACGCUGAGGUACGAAAGCGUGGGGAGCGAACAGGAUUAGAUACCCCCGUAGUCC